GGAAUGGCCAUUAUUUCCAAAAUAGUAUAUAGAAUUGAAGGGACCAAAGUGUACAGUUCCUUUGGCAAGAGAGGAAGAAAGAAGACAGGGAUCGAGUAAUAAGAAGAGCAACAAACAAUGACGGCUGCUAAGGGAAGCCAUUGAGAAGCAGGAAUGAGUAAUGGAAAAGAGAAGAUGGGCUAUGUAGUAGCAGAGUAAUUAGUUUGUAAU
This 210-nucleotide unclassified non-coding RNA is filed under the name Hevea brasiliensis (rubber tree). The record is from RNAcentral. Lineage: Eukaryota; Viridiplantae; Streptophyta; Magnoliopsida; Malpighiales; Euphorbiaceae.